This 407-nucleotide ribosomal RNA is filed under the name uncultured bacterium. RNAcentral describes it as "partial 16S ribosomal RNA". It matches the Rfam family "Bacterial small subunit ribosomal RNA", at positions 30 to 526 of the family's 1533-position model. The record is from RNAcentral.
AUUGAACGCUAGCGGGAUGCCUUACACAUGCAAGUCGAACGGAGUGGCGAAAGGGUGAGUAAUGUAACGGAACGGGCCCAGUAGCGGGGGAUAAAUACGCGAAAGCGUAGCUAAUAACGCAUACUAUUGGAGGGGGCGAUAUCGGAUUAGAUAGUUGGUGGGGUAACGGCACACCAAGGCGACGAUCCGUAGCUGGUUGGAGAGGACGAACAGCCAAACUGGUACUGAGACACGGCCCAGACUCCUACGGGAGGCAGCAGUGGGGAAUUUUGGACUAUGGGCGAAACCCUGAUCCAGCCAUCCCGCGUGUGCGAUGAAGGCCUUCGGGUUGUAAAGCACUUUUGGCAGGAAAGCGGUACCUGCAGAAUAAGCACCGGCUAACUACGUGCCAGCAGCCGCGGUAAUAC